GGAGAAAAAAAAAAGAGGGAGAGAAGGCGUCUCUCUCUCUCUCCUCUCGCCGUCCCCAACCUCUCGUCUUCGCUGCCUGCGGAAGGUGGGGAGCCUUCGCUUUUCCGCGUGAAUUUUUUCGGGCGAAUUUUUUUCGGCCUCCGCUCCGGUCAGAUCGGCGCGGGUGAGCUCCGGCCCCUCCCGAUCCGGAUCCGUCCCAUAGGCGCGCGUGUUUUUUUCUCUCGAGCUUUUUGUGUGGUUUUUUUUCCCGCUCUUCUCUUCUGGUUGCCGCGGCUGUCUCGGGUAGAUCUGCGGUUUGGUCCGGUUUGGAGCGCGCCGAGGCGGUGUUGCGUGUGGUAGGUUCCUGGUUUCCUACCGGGCGUUGUCGGUCGGAGCCGGAUUUGGUGCGGGGCUGCUUGAGGCGUUGGGCGAUCGGUGCUGGGGCAUGGGGUGUUCGACCUUACGCGCUCGUGUUCUGGAUUUCACGGAUGGUGUGAGAGAUUGGGGCUUUUUUGGUUGUUCUGGAUCUGGAUGGAUGAAGUUGGCCGUCUGCUUGCUGUGUAGGGGCUUUCUGUAAGAAUUUUAGGAUCGAUGCGCUCGUGCAGGCUGUGACGUGCUCUUGUGAUGGUUCAGGCCGAUCUCCGAGAUGCCUGUAGUGCUGUACUGGUUUCACCUCUGUACUCAGCUUGUUUUGUUUUGUUUUUUUCCGGUAGCUUACCUUGACCCUCUGGGCGUUUAGAAAGUGCAUUUCUGAAAUAUGAUUGAUAUAUUGUUCUGACACUAGUAUUGUUAGUUAUGAUGGUAAGCUAGGCUUACAGGGUAGAAUGUUUUGAAAUUGAUAAUUUGGAAUUACUAAGAGGUUUGCUCAUCGUUAUGGAGUGUGGGUUGUAUCAUUCCUCAUCACUAAACUUUCAGCUAUUGGCCUUCGCUUUGGAAGUAGAUGUUGGCUAUUUUAACUCAUAUAUACUUGACCUGGAGCAUGGAGGUUACUUGAUAUGCAUGUUAAGACUGUUGGCUAUUUUAACUCAUACCUGGAGCAUGGAGGUUACUUUGAUACGCAUGUUAAGGCUUAAGAGUUCAGAAAUUAGAAGUGCUUAUCAUAUCUGGUUGUCUUUAGGGUAAGAGUAUUUAUAAGGGGUUCACAAGAGUUAAUUCGUAUAUUGGGCUGGAGACCUGACAGUACUAAUCCAGACUUCUGAAGCAUUGUUGCCUUCUUGAAAGGAGCAUUAGGUUAUCUGCUACUUAAACUUGCUUGUAUUUGCAUGCUAGCCCAUACUAUCACUGAGCUAUGAAAUAUGUUGCCGCUAAAUGUGAUAUGUUAUUAAGUUCUAAGUUUAUUAGGAGUGAUAAUCGAGCCAAACCAAACCUAAUGAUUGGAUUGCUGCCUAAUGUUGAUUGGACUUUAUGUGGGACAUUUUUGGCUGCCAAAUGAUAUUAUGAUAUAGAAAUCUAGCUUGCAAAUAUUAAGCAUGAGAGCAGGAAGCCCAAUGUUCCAGCUUAGGGGGCUAGCUGAACAAUCAUCCAAGUAUAUGGGAUUGAGGUGUCUUCUUUUGUUUAUCUAGAAUAGUUGGCAUUUUUUCCUAAACCGAAAACUGAAGUUUGAGUCAGCUUUAUGGGGUUCACAAAUGUUCAAUAUCAGGACUGUCAUGGAACACUGUCACGCAAUUCAGUUAGCAGGCUUGAUAUUUGCUGAGUUCUCUGCAACACUUUACUAACAUAAUUUGGACUCUGUUGUUCAUCAUUCGUAUCUCUGCUUCCAAAUACACAAAUAGAUAUGAUUUACUGCAAUCUUUGUUCUAUGUUUUUGUUGACUUCUUUUACCUAAUGUAUGAUGAAACAGGAGUUUGUCAUGGCAUCGAAGCGUAUCCUGAAGGAAUUGAAGGACCUGCAGAGAGAUCCCCCCACAUCAUGCAGUGCAGGUACGAUUACUAGUAAUUAUUGGAACUAUGGAUGACUGCUCCAGAGAUUUACAUAACCCACUGGGUGCAGGCAGACCAUGUCAUCUUGUCUGUACCAUAUUGCCAGUCCUUGCAUGCUCACUUUGUUUUUCCCAAUGCCUUUCCAUUGCUUCUCAUGAACAAAUUUCACUUGUACAAUGUUCAGGUCCUGCCGGUGAGGACAUGUUUCAUUGGCAAGCAACAAUUAUGGGACCGCCUGACAGUCCCUAUGCUGGUGGUGUUUUCUUAGUGAACAUUCAUUUCCCGCCAGAUUACCCCUUCAAACCUCCGAAGGUUAGAACUCAGGAGGUUUAUCUUAUUUACAAAUUCCCCUUUUAUUCACUCUAAGUUAUUGUGUAUUGUGCGCUCUUGCAAGAUGUGUAGUAUUGGGUAGCCUGAAUGUGGUUACCUUUAAUAAGUAUAGGCGUCUUCUGAGUAAAAGUUUGUAAACAAGAAAGGCUUUUUGUUGUUCCUUUUUCUCCUGCUAAUGUCAUCAUCCUGGGGGGAGGGAGAUCAUUGUACAUUAUCCCUUCUGCUAUGUGAUAGCUUCACCUUUCUGUUAGUACUUUGUCCUUGGUCAACUAAUAAUAUGGUUAUAGUUGUUUUAUCUGCUGGCAUAAAAUCAUCUUUUAGUGUUAGCUGGUAAUGCAUUAACUUUUUUUCCUGGAUGAAGUAUCCCUGUUAAUAUAUCCUUUCAGAGUUGUAGUUUAGAACUGUGUUAGUGAUUUCGUACACCUGAGGAAAUAAUAAAUUUCUUACAGCUUCUCUCAAAUUAAAUAUUUCAUGCUAAUAAUUUCAAGAAAAACGGUAUGUUAAGAAUGUCAUGGAUUAUUGUAUGUUUGAUACCUGUCUACAUUUCCUAUUAACAAUCUGCUUUGGCAUCUUCCUUUGAUGGCUGAACUUCACGAGCCAUUAAAUCUUGAGGUUUCUUUUACUUAGAUUUUGUUGUUUUAACUUUGUCCAUGUUUAUUGAAUCUUUGUUGCCCUGUUCAUUUUAGGUGUCUUUCAAGACAAAGGUCUUCCAUCCUAAUAUCAACAGCAAUGGAAGUAUAUGCCUUGACAUUCUUAAAGAGCAGUGGAGCCCUGCUUUGACAAUUUCUAAGGUCAUCCUGAACACUGAUAUUUUUUUUCUAUAUGAGCAUAACUUUUUCUUUUCAUUUUUUCUUUAUGUUUAUAAAAUGAGUAAAUCUAAAUUUCUGAUGAUGCAAGAAUUUUCUACUGAUGGGUAUCGCUUAUUUUGCAUUGAUUAGUUAGCAGAAACAUUCACUGCCUUGUUUGGGGUUCCUUUGCUGUCUGUUCCUGUGCUGUUUUUGUCAUCAUCUGCAUUGUUUGGGGUUGCUAUUGUAGAUGUAAUGCCCCUAGCAAAUUCUGAAAUCUAAUGUUGUUUGCCCUUUUGUUUGAUUUAGUUGGUAAAUAUUUUUCUAUUUAUUAUUUCACAUGCUUUAACCAUAUAUCUGUGAAAUAUCAGGGCCUUUGUCCUUUCGGUGAAUGCUUCUAUGAACCCUGUUUGCUAUUUUACUAACAUACUGUGGUGCUUGGAUCUUCUUGUAUCAUGCUUUAACCAUGUUUUGAGCUGUUUAAAUGGAGACUAACAUUGUACUUCUGUCAACCAUACUUGCAGUACAGCACCUCUAAUAGUGUGCUGAAUAUGAUCAUAGGAGUUUCAUAGGCGCGCCCUUAUAUGCUGGCUGUAUGCCAACAUAUUAAUCUUUUUUUUGGAACCGUCCAUGUGGAAAUGGAAUUUCAUUUUUCAUUCAGUUCCACAAUUCCACAAUUAGGUUUUGUUGGAAAUGACGUGUUAUUGUUAUGUUAUACACCUAAAUGAAAUUAGAGUGUUGUUGCUUAUUUGAGUGUUGCUUUGUUGGAUGUUCCAGGUCUUGCUCUCCAUCUGCUCCCUGCUAACUGACCCCAACCCGGACGAUCCUCUUGUCCCCGAGAUUGCCCACAUGUACAAGACGGACCGGCCGAAGUACGAGUCGACAGCCCGCAGCUGGACGCAGAAAUAUGCGAUGGGCUGACAAAGCACCUCCGCAUGUCAAUCAGCGACGAUUCCCGUGUCGUCUCAAGAAAUUGUUUGUGGGCCAUUAUUUCCUUCGAUUUGUCGCUGGUCGUGUGUAUCCCCGAU
This 4041-nucleotide long non-coding RNA is filed under the name Setaria viridis. RNAcentral describes it as "long non-coding RNA (SVIR_LNC002764)". The record is from RNAcentral. Lineage: Eukaryota; Viridiplantae; Streptophyta; Magnoliopsida; Poales; Poaceae.